This 467-nucleotide ribosomal RNA is filed under the name uncultured bacterium. RNAcentral's name for it is "partial 16S ribosomal RNA". It matches the Rfam family "Bacterial small subunit ribosomal RNA", at positions 28 to 523 of the family's 1533-position model. The record is from RNAcentral.
GAUGAAUGCUGGCGGCGUGCCUAACACAUGCAAGUCGAGCGGUAGCGCGAGUAGUUUACUACUUGGCGACGAGCGGCGGACGGCUGAGUAACGCGUGGGAACGUGCCCCAAAGUGAGGGAUAACGCACCGAAAGGUGUGCUAAUACCGCAUAUGAUCUUCGGAUUAAAGAAUUUAUUCGCUUUGGGAGCGGCCCGCGUCGGAUUAGGUAGUUGGUAGGGUAAUGGCCUACCAAGCCGACGAUCCGUAGCUGGUCUGAGAGGAUGACCAGCCAGACUGGAACUGAGACACGGUCCAGACUCCUACGGGAGGCAGCAGUGAGGAAUCUUCCACAAUGGGCGAAAGCCUGAUGGAGCAACGCCGCGUGCAGGAUGAAGGCCUUCGGGUUGUAAACUGCUUUUAUAAGUGAAGAAUAUGACGGUAACUUAUGAAUAAGCACCGGCUAACUACGUGCCAGCCGCCGCGGUAA